UUCAAGAUUUUGGUUUCCCUGGAUUAGCCUGGCUGCCCAGAUUGUAUGUUGUCAUCAGUAACUAUAAUUCAAAUUUUCAUAGUUUCAUUAGUGAGUUAUCGACCUAGCAAGUCAAAACAGAAGACAAUGCUGCAGGCUGGAUGGAAUCUGUACUUUUGCAUGGUUGCUUGGUGUAGACUGGAGUUUUCUGAGCGGCUGUAGUUGGUAGAAGACCACUUUCCUUUUUUAAAGAUGUUGCUAUGUUUAAAGCUUAUUUUCUGACAGGAAGCUAUGCUGAAUCAUCUUACUGCGGAAGCUUGUUUUUUAAUUAGGGGUUGAAUGGAUUAGUUUAUGUCAUGGUUGUUAAGUGGUGAUCUCUUACCAGGAGCACAAUCUAGUUCAGUGGUCUUCUUUACUUGGCUUUCUUGAUUUGUGCAAGAGAUGUGUGUUUUUAGCUCCAUUUUCUGUUCUUUUAUCCUUCCUCGGCCUGAUCAGAUUAUGUUUCUUUUCCAAUUCAUUAGAUGGAAUUUUUCACCUUUCUUUCUUUGUGUUAUUUAGGGUAAAUAUAUAUUUUGGACAGACCGAGGAGAGGACGUUGCUUUCUGGAACGCACACUGUGACGGAUAUAUUUUGUCGUCGCUGUGGGCAGAUUCUUGGCUGGAAAUAUGUAAUUCCUCUCAUCCCCUCUUCUUUUUCCAUACGCACCAACACGUAGAGCCAAAAAAUACAACUAUGGGAACACACACACACACACAAAAAGUUCCUUUUAUUGUCUUUUGGGGGAUAUGAAUCGGUGUAUAUAAGUUAAACUAACACAGUAUAUGUAACAUGCGUAGUUCUAUUAACGACUAAUAUUUGUGUCUCGUUUACACAGGAGAAAUCCCAUGAGGAAAGCCAGAAGUACAAAGAAGGGAAAUUUGUCCUUGAAAGGUUUUAUUUCUCUCUCCCCCUCUUUAUCUUUUUAUAGUAAAAAAAAAAUUCGCAUUACAUUUUAUCGGAAAACAACAAUAUGCUCAUUUUAAGUGUUCCUAAUAUAACAUUUCUAUGUUGAUAAUGUGUGUUGAACAGAGUCAGGAUCAUUGAUGAUGAAGAUGAUUCUGAAUUCUACAUUGAUACUCGUUCAAGCACAAGUGAUGAUGAAGAUACAAUGUAAAUAGUGGGAGCUUAGUGCACCGAUUUGCAGAUACUUGUAUCUUGUAGACUUAGCAAAAGAAUAGUUGUAUCUUGUCUGAAAAUCUCUCUCAAGUUUGUGGAUGUAGAAACUAAGUUGCUGCCGAAGUGUUUUUUAAUCAAUAUAUGCUCGACUUAAGUUAAUGCUUUAGUGGUCUUGCAUGUUUUUUGUGCUUCAUUAUAUUAUUCUGCUCAGCAUGGUUUGUUAUGCUUUCUCUAUUAUUUGUGAUGGUUUAUUUAGGAAUGUAAUUGCUUAUGCUUUAAGAAAAAAAAUCAAAUAUAUAUAUUCAAAUAGGGAUCAAAUCUCACCCAAUCACUCGAUUGAGUUUGGUGUAGCAAGUGUCGUAUCUCAAGAAGGAUGUAAACUAUAUAUACUAGCUUCACGGCAUGUGCGGUGUACGUGUGUAGUGUAUCAUAUCAUAUACUGUAUAUUGUAAAAUAGAAUUAAUAUUACUAAAUUAAAGCUUUUUAGGAAAUAAUUAUAAUUUAAAGAAUAUAGGACAAGUGAUUAUAAAUGAUUAAUACUAUCAUAGAGUUAUUUAUUGUUUAGAUCAAAAUGACAAGAUAUCAUUGAAACUUUUCAAAAUACAUUCAAAGUUUAAAUUUUGGUUUAGUAAAUACUCCCUCCGUCCCAUUUUAUAUGUCAUCACUUUUUAGAAAUAGUUGGUUCAUAAUACUUGUCAUUUCAUAAAAUUAAUGCAUAAAUUACCAUAUUGUUCCUUUUUAACCCUUGUGAGUUAAUUAGCCUUGAAAAUAUACAUUUGACCAACUUAGAAAAGCUAAGUAAAUGAUUCAUGUUCAAUAGUUAAAUUAAUUAAUCAAAAUAAAUUAAUUUAUAUUCAUUGAUUGAAAACAUGAGUUCCAAAAAAAAUUAAAUAAGAGUAGAAGGAUAAAGUUACAUUAUUUCUUAAUGCAAGUGCAAAGUAAAAAUGUAACAUAUAAAAUGAGACUCAAGAAAUACAUAUAUAAGCAUUGACACCUCUUCACACAAGUUAAAUAUGUAUUUUUCCACUUUCAAUACAUUAGUUUAUUUAAUUGUAUUUGAUAUGGACCCCAUAAUUUUCUUUCAAUUUUCAAUUAAACUAUACCCUCUCUCUCCUCUCUGGUUUUAAUUGCAAUUUUAAAGGACAAUCUAUACCCCCACAAUCCACAUGUCAACUUGUUAAUAGAUCCUCACACAAAUUUUAUUGGUGGUAUCUUGCUCAAAAUAAAUUUUUCAACAUGAGACUCUUUAUAAAAGAAUUUAUACAACAUAAAAUAUGAUCUCAAUUUUUUGUGGCGAGCAUAAGACCCUUUAUAAAAGAACAGAGAAGUGUUGAAAAACACUCUAAAUUUGGUGAAAAUUUAGAAUUAAUCUCACUCAUGUUACAAGACUGGAGAGCGUAUUUACAUGUAUUACUAAAGUAAAGAUAUUUUUAAGGUUGUUGAAACAAUAUGAUCGAGUUUAGGGGGUAUUGAGAAGUAAUAAGUACAUACAUAUUACGGUAAAAUACAAGUUAGAGAUAAGCAAGCAGGUGCAGCUUGCUAUGAUAAUGGAUACAAUAUAUCUAUGGGUUUGAGUGUGUUGCCGGAUCCGAAUUCACAAUUAUCGAUUCGUUCAUCUGCGGUUUGCUUUUCGCUAUUCCAAUUUUGUUUACAAAGAAGAAGAAGAAAUGAAUCCGAACACAAUGGGAGAACGGAAGUCUUCAUCUAAGAAAACAUCUUCCAAAAAGAAGAGGCUCAAAGUUUCCUCUAAGGUAUCUUUUUUAGCUCUCCAUUUCGAUGUUUUCCAUUCAUUUACCUAAUAACAUUCGUUUCGCUUUCUCAGUAUUAUGUAUAAUGUUCCUGUAUGCUGUGUUGAUCUCUUUCUAUUUCGUUAUGAAUUUCUGUGUAUAGUUAUGUAUUUUAGGGUUUAUGUAGAAUUUAUUGAACUUUGUUUUGUAUCAAAUAAAAUCACGGUUUUUAUUUUCAAUAAUCUUAAAAGGUUAUUGAAUUAUGAGAAUUCUCCUUUAAUUUGAUUUUUAAGGGCUUUAUGUUUUUUCCUGUUUACUGAAUUAAUUUUUGUCAUGUUAUGGAAUAUUUGUAAAUGUUUUCCUUUUGUAGUGAUGCUAAUAGUUCCCUUUCUACUGGUGGUGGAAAUAUGGAAGAGAAUUAAAAAUAAUGGUUAGUAAUCUGCUAUGUUGCUCGGACUCUCCAAAAAUGUUGUUGAAUCUGUGUUGGAUCUUCCCAUAAUGCACUACUUUUGGGGGAUACGACACACACGACAACAUUUUUAAGGAGUCUGAACAACAUAAGCUAUCUGUACCCUCUGUUGAACCUAAGUCCAAGCAACAUAUGUAAUUAGCUGGUUUAACUUUUGGGUCUUUUCAUGUGUGUAUCAUUAGGGGAUGAUUUUUGGGGGAUAAAAAUUAAGCUAGCUGUUCUUUUAGCUAAAAAUUAAAAUGAAACUGUUUUCCAAGAACAAGGGUCAAAAAGUAGUUCAAAAGGCUGGUUAUUUUGGGUACAAUACUUAUAUGAGUUGACAUAACUGAACUGGGAGAAUAUAAGUCCUACUCCUUCCAGUUUGUUUAGAAGGGAUUAUUUUUCAUGUAAAUAUUCAUAUACAAAUCUGUAAUAUGGUAAGGCUUCAUGUGGUAUAGCUCAUGAUCGCUCGUGGGAGUGUUAAGUCACAUUGCAUAGUCAUUUGAAUUGUUAUAGUUAGAGUUCCAUGAAUCGUUUAUUGUUCUUUGUAUUUUUUUUGUUUUCUGCUCUAUCCGCAAAAUAAACUUAGUGGAGCAAAUCUAGAGUUAUUUAUCCAAAAAAACAAUUAUCUGCACCUGUUAAUACUUGGUAUCUUUUAGAAGCCACCAUGGAAAAAAGGAUAUCUAAGAUCUUGUAUUAAAUACAUUCUCUUUUGUUUCAAUUUGUAAUUCGUUAACUGACACUCAGAAGAAAGAAUUGUGGAAGACUUUAUAAUGCUUGAUCAUGCCAGCACACUUUGUACACUAUUUAUUGCAUUAUAUUUUUAAUUAAUAUUAGGCAUGCUUUCUGUAGAACAAUGUAAGGUUACCUCCUGUUUUCUUAUGAAUUCCAAUUUAUUAUCCUUCAUUAUACAUCUUCAUGUGUUGUGUGGUUAGAUACGGAAGAGAAAAAGCAGAAGAAACAAAUCCAAGAAGUUAUCCAGUUCUGAGGAUGACUCGUCAUCUUCUGCUUCCUCUGAUUAUUCUAGCAGUCCACAGUCUUUGUCCUCCGAUUCAGAGGUUGAUUAUAGUAUGAAAAAACGUAGGCACUCACGUGAUAUAAAACACGUGAAGAAAAGAACUUGGAGAAAAUCUUCAAGCCGAGAUGUCAGUGAGGGUUCACCCCCUGUAAAGAAAAGAAAACGGUCAAAUAGAAAGAGUCUUGAUUAUGGGAGAAAAGUGCAGAAGAAGAAGCGAAAGAGACACACUAGUAUUAGCUCCACGAACAGUGACUCAAGAUGUUGUUCUAGGAAAAUAGUAUUAGCUCCAAAGGUAGAGAUUUUAAGAGCUUUUCCACUUGCCAAGAUACAACUAAUAGUGGUAAAUAGGAAGCGAUAACGAAAUUGAGUUUGAUUAAAAGACAUUUGCAUAUACUACUUAAGGUUCCAAAUAUUUAUAGUUUUAACAAAUUAAUCUUGUCUUAAAAUACCUGACGUCUGAAGAAUUUGUUUUAUUAUAUCUAAAUUUUAAAUUUUCUAAUUUAAUUAGUAAAGUAUUAUUACUGAUUAAAGAGAAAUAAUAAAAAGUAAUAUAAACAAGUAUACUUAUGAUUAAAAAUAUUAUUAUAAAUACUUUUGCAAAGCGAUGUCUAAAUAAAAUAGGCAUAAUAUAUAAAUAUAUCUUUUAAUUUGUCUUCCAUACUAAGACGAAUGUAUCUAUUUGUUUAAUUUAUAUAAGUUUUAGAGUCGAUUUAUACAUAUUUAAAAUUGAAGGGCAUAAAUAUUUGCUUAAGCUAAAUUAAAAACACAUUUAUGUAUUAUAUAUAUAUAUAUAUAUAUAUUAUUAUUAUUAUCAUAUAUUACUAUAAGCAUGAACAAAAAAAGUUGAGAAAAAAUUUAAAAAAGUCUAUACCUAAAUUGCUAAACUUUUCCUCUUCUCAUAAUUUUUUCCUUUGAUAUAAUUUAUGUGGAUAAAGUAUUAUCCUUUAUUAUAAAUAACGAAAUUUAAUAAUUUGAAGGGUGAAAAUCUGCAAAAUGGAGACACACACAUUGAUAAUGUCCUCUUGAUUAUAUUAAAGAAUGACUCUAGCUUCACAAAUUUAAAUUCAUUGAUGCUUAAUUACGUGAUAGGAACUUUAGUUAUUUUUUUUACAUAGUUUGCUAACUUUCUUUUUCCUAUUCUUCAUUUAUUUACUAUUAUUUUCUAAUUACUUAUUCAACUUUUAUACUCUUAAUAUUCAUAACUCUCAUCUUUUCAUAUUCAUAACCUCUAAAUAUUUAAACUAACACUUUAAGAUAUCUUUUGAUAUUCCUUCUAUUCUAUCUAUAUAAAUUCAACUUCUUUAUCUCAUGAAAUCCCUACCAAGUUUAUUAGACUAUUAUUAUUUUUAUUCUAUAGUUAAAGUAGAUGAAGAAAACUCUUGAAUUGUGAUAGGAUAUGGAAGGAAUCGAUAAGAACUCAGAGAGUUAAGUACUAAUUUUGUACUUAUUUUUUCAUCUAUAUAUGUAUCAGUCUUAUAAGAAUAAUGUCUACCUUGUAUUUUUUCUUAAAUCUGUUUCUUUUUGUCUUUUUUUUUUUCUCUAUUAGACUUCUUAAUUUAGUUUUCUAUGAAUGUUUUAUUGUCGUAAGUCUUUAUACUUAUUUUGUAAUUGUUGCAUUUUAUUGUUCAUUACAAUUUACAUAUAUAUAUUUUCAUGAAAUUUUAGUCAUUCUAACGUAUCUAUAAAAAUUCACAUGAAACACACGUGCUCAGCACGUGCUCAGAAACUAGUUAGUUAUAAAAAAGUUAAGACCGUUAAAAAUCUACACCACAACAACAUAAAUAUUUUUUUUUAGAGACAAUCUGAGGUCAAAUGUUCACCACUUUUCGUCAUUGUUACUUUGUUACUCUAACAAAAUUUAUAGAAGGAGACAACUAAAUUUGAAACAACAGCAAAAUAAUAUUGUUGACCCUUUUAGAAAUUCAUUCUUCAUUAAACUGCUGCUCUAAUUUUCUAGCAACCAUACAACUUCAGCUAUUUAAACCGUAUAUUAUUUUCUGUUUUCAAAGCAUUUAGUUAUUUUCCGUAUUAAAUUAAAUAUUUUCUGUUUUCAAAGCAUUUAGUUAGUUUCCCGUAUUAAAUUAAAUAUUUUCACUUUUCUAAUCAUUUAAUAGACUCUUUUGUUUUGGAAUAUGAAUAGUUAUUUUCAUUUUCUAUAUAUGUAUUGUAAAUUAAUUAUCAUUUUUUACUUCUAAUCUUUUUUAUAGUUUUCUCUUGUAUUUGCUUAGCCUUUGUGUUUGCUAAUUACUAAUUUUUAUUUAUUUUUCUUUGUUUCAGAUAUUAUCUUGCAAUUGUGAACUCUUCCCUUCUUCAUCGCAUCAUCAGCUACAUAAUAGAUAUGAUAGUCAUAUCAUUGGAGUUAUGCCUAGUCAUGAAGAAGGUAAACAUACAUUAGACCAUUUCACUAGAAAUCUUUGUAGUUUGUUAAGAUGUGUCUCAUAAGGAAAUAUAGAGAACUUGUAUUGUUUGAGAUCCAUAAAUUAGUAGUAAAUACUAGAAUGAAAUGAGUCCAAAUAGAGUGAAAUAAAUAGUGAGAAUGCAUAUGCCGACUCUAAGAAGCAUGUAAUUGAGGUAUGGUUGUAAUGGGAUUAAAACGAGUAAUAGAAGUAGAUGGAUCGUUGUAGCCGAUAAGUAACUGCUAACAAACUGAUAUACAAACAUUAUGAGUUUUGUCAUCUAUACUAUACUGUUACAUGCUAUAGGGUUUUGACCAAAUGAUAGCAGAAGCUUUCACUAGAAAACAAAGUAAAGCUUAAUGUUGACCAAACAACAUCAUCUGAACUUACGUGCUUGGGUCCAGUAAUCUCGAAUUGGGCUUUGGGCUGUCAUCACAUAUAUACAUAGCAUAUGCAUAAUCAUAAACAAGGAUUGUGCCAUUGUCUUUAGAAAAUUGCACCACUUUAGUCACCCUGAUGCUGUCAAAUCAGUUGGAUUAUUUCAACCAUUUGUAUUAAGUUCUAGCUUGUUUGUGAAUAUGGAUUGAUUAUGUUAUUUCGUAAUACUAUUAUAUUAAACAUUUUAGUUAAUAUUCUCAUAUAAAAUUUACACAUGAAGGAUUCAUAAUCUUGAAUCAAACAAAGAAAGUUGUACAUGCAAUAAUCUAUUACAAAUAAAUAUGAUUUUUUUUCAAGUGUACCCCGUGAAAUUGACAACGAUACAUUAUCCAUCUUAAAGAAGACAUAAGUUAAUCAAUAUUUCUACACUAUGAAAUACAAUUAUUAUUCGGAAACAACGUCUUGAUACGUAUGUGGAUAUAAGGAGGAGACUAUAGUUUGUUAAAAAUAAGACACAAACUUUAAGAUAUGAAACAUUUACAAACAUAAUCAAUGUUACUUAUGUUUUACCUAUAAAUUAUAUGUUAUUGAAAUAUUAAAAAAAUAAGGAAAGUGCCACACUGAGUAUAAGAUAUAUGAGAACUACAUAAGAAAAAUGUUACACCAAUUCAAUUGACUGUUUAUAGCUACAAACAAUUACCCUUUCCUAAAUUUAGUCACUUAUUACUUACAUGUUUUAGCAUCAUCUAUAUCAUUUUUAAAAAUUGUACUAAUUAACAUGGGACACACGUGCAACGCACGUGUCCAGAAACUAGUGCAAUAAAAUAUUGAUAGCUCGUUUUUAUACAUUUAAACAGCACUAAAAGAUAGGAUUAGGUGGCUUUGAAGUUAGCAAAACAAAUCUGCACCACAUGUAAUAAUAAGUCGUUUUCUACUUUGUUGUUUCUGGAAUUUGACACUUCACUUCUGUGGGCUAAAUUCUAAAAUCUUAAGACCCCUCAAUAAACCUUGUCUUUUCAUCUUUUCUUUAAAAAGGGUUUCAGUUUUGGGAAAUUGGGGCUGAGCUGCAGUUUGUGUGAAGUGAAAAAUGGGGAGAGUAUUUUUGGUGGAUCUUGAAGGCAAACCUACAAUUGCAAAUUCUGCAAAACCCAACUUGCCCGUGUUGAUCAACUUAUUUCCAAGGUACGAUUUUUUAUUUUUUAUUUUUAUUUUUUGGUUGAAUGACUAGAUCUAGCUAUGUAAAAUCCUGAUCUUUCAUUUGACAUGGUUAUAUAUCACUUCUCGGUACAAGUAAAAAUCUCACCUUUUUUAUAGGUUGUAAAUAAGUAAUUUUUGUGUUGUUUAGUGCAAAUGUAAUGCUUUUCUUGUUAAUUCAGAAGUUUCAAAUUUUACGAAUUCAUCAAUCCUCAUCAUGAAUUUGAAUUGACCAUUAGGAAAAUGGUUUAUUGAGUUAGGGAUGGAAGAGUGUGCAGAUUUUAUUCGUCUCUAAAAAAAUGUUGUUGAUAAGAUCCAGAAAUGGGUGACUACUUCAUGAGAGAUAGCAGUGACGUGUGAAGACGUUUGGAAGCUCUCAAGCAUGUUGGAUCAUGUCGAUUUUAUGUAUAUUCAUAGAUGUUUGAACAAAAUAGUUCAUAGUUUAGCUAGAUUUUCUAUUUCUUUGUUGAAGGAGAUCUCUUGGGAGAGGUUUUUCCAGAGUUGGAUCAUGCAUGAUGCUAAGGGUACAUUUGAAUUUCGUAGCUGUUGAUGCAAUAAUACAAAGUGUUUAGUUUCGGUGAAAAAGUUCAUGAAUUUGACAAGUUUAAUGUUGGUUGCCAAGCAUAGAUUAACCCUCCUCCUUUGUUUAAGUGUGGGACUUAUUAAACACGUCGUUUUAAAUAAGAACUCAAUUGUAGAUUCUUCUUCAUUGCGUGUGCUAAAAGCAAAGUUGCAUUUGGGAUUUGGAGGUUUGGGGUGCAACAUUGCUUUGAACAUAGACAUCUUGCUAUUUAAACAGGGAAGGCUGUCUUCUCUUUUAGAGGAAAGAAAAGAUUUUGGGGAUAGAAAGAAGGCAACAAAAAUAAUUAAAAAAAUCAAACAAGGUUAAAUUCAACAAUAAAGUCUAAAAGAAUCACUACUAAGAAAAAGGAGGAGAAUAGGUGAAAUGCCUAGCUCCUUAAUUGCCCAGUGAAGCAAACAAAAUAGUUAAAGUACUGUAGAGGGCUGGAAUCGAACUCACGCAACCUAGAAGGAAUUUCCGGAGUUUUGCCAGUGGCGUCAUGUAUUAUUUUAUUCAAUGAGUGGCACGUUAACUAUUUAUUGUAAAUUUUCUUUCUAUAUAUAUAUAUAUAUAUAUAUACUUAUAUGUACCAAGUUUCGGGUGAGGCUUUUUGGUGACGUGGCACCCCCUCGGCAUGGGCGGAUCUACAUGGAUCCAAGGGGGUUCAUCCGAACCCCCUUCGUUGGAAAAAUUACACGGUAUAUAUAGGAUCAAUUUUUUGAUUUAUAUGUAUAUACCAAGUGAUGAACCCCCUAAAUAUAAGCUAAGGUCAUGGCUCAGUGGUGAAGGGGGUUCAAGAAUUCACAAUAUAAGUGUUGGGUCGCGGGUUCGACUCCCUGUAACAACGUUUUUCCCCAUAUUUUUGAGAUUUAUACUAUUUUAUUAGAUAUUAAAAAAUAAAUUUAUUUUCCAUUUUUAUAAAAUUAAGUAAAACUUAUAACGUUGUUUUCAUAAUUAAAAUUAAAAAUACAUUCUCCCAUUCUCAUUUUAAGUCAAACGUUUAAUUUAUAUUUGAUUAAGGAAUAAAAUAAUUAUAAGUAAGAUUAAACAAAUAAGAGUAAUCAUUUAAAAUUUAUAAAUAAAUACAAUUGUCGCGAACGCGAAUUUUAUUGCUACAAUAUGAUUGGAUUUAGAAGUAUUCCUUAGUUCGAACUCACGCAACCUAGAAGGAAUGUCCGGAGUUUUGCCAGUGGCAUCAUGUAUUAUUUUAUUCAAUGAGUGGCACUUUGGCACCCCCUCGGCCCUUAGUAGAUCCUCCCCUGGUUAAAAGCAACUCCUUUUUUCACUCGUAAGUAAAAUAUAUGCAUAAGAAUUGUCUAGCACCAAUAGGUGAUGUAAGUUGGAAUUCUCGAAGCAAGUAAAUUAAUUGGAACUCAAGAAGUUUCUUUUAUCUCAUUGUGUAUGAACUGUCAGUUUACUUUCUUUGUCGUGGUAUAUUGCAUGAGAAAAUUGUGUUUCGUCUUUGCUGCAUAAAUUGCAUUUCAUUUUGCAAUGGUUAACUAUGUCUGACAAAAUCUCCUUUAUGCUAUUUAUUCAGGCUUUUCAUUGCAGCAGUGGAAGAGCAUACCUGUUCAAUAAAGUGUGAGUGGCCUCUAACGUCAUAUUGAUAGUAUACAUUGCUAUUUCAUGAAUCUGGAUUUUUGUUUUACAAGUGAUUUAAUUUGUUGAUAAACCUGCAUCCAUUCGUGAGUGACAACUGGUGCUUUCUUUUUGGGGGUUGUACGAUACUGUAUCUGUUGUCGGGAGAAAGUGCUGUUUAAUAUGUUUGGCACAUCAUUCGGAUGCAGUUGAUAGGUGUUUCUCCUAAUUGGUUAAGUGUUACAUCACCAUUAACAACCCGUUGCGUCUAUUUUCAGUGAGUUAUAGGCAAUACGGUCAUUUUUAUUCAACAGAAUGCCAUUUGUGACCAAGUAUUUGUGGAAUGAAUGAUAUUGCCUGUCCGGACAUUUUUUUUUUGAAAUGGUAGAGGUUUUAUUAAUAAUAGUACCAAGAUGGUACAAAAAGUACAAGCCACCAAAAAGACAAGUAGCAACCCUUCUUUGUUCUUAUUAUUAUUCCUUUAAAUUUCGGGGGGUGGGGGGUUAUAGAUAUAAAUGGCUAUUGCAAAGAAAUGCACUUGAGGGCAGAGGCAUGUAGAAACUUCUCACAUUUGAUUCAAAAUACUUUGUCAUGCUUUCUAUAGUAUUUUGCCAUGAUUUCUUUUCUUCCGUUAUUUCUUUUUCAAUCUUCUUUGAUAUGUUUAUCCUUGAGCCGAGGGUCUAUAGGAAACAACCUCUCUACCUCCAAAGGUAGGCGUAUGGUUUGGGCACACUCUACCCUCCCCAGACCCCGCCUAUAGGAUUACAUUGGGUAAGUAGUUGUUAAUUGCAAGUUCCAAUGGCUCGCUCAACAUCAGCAUCAGCUAGAUAUUAUGUGCAUUUGAGCAUAACUGUUUGACUUAGGCCACAUUUGGAUAUAUAGGGUUUGCUCAAUUGUCCGAGGUACUUGUAUGUACAUACAUACGUAUGUAUGCUUGAAUUCUUCUUGCCCAUCUACUUUCAAGAUUUUGGUUUCCCUGGAUUAGCCUGGCUGCCCAGAUUGUAUGCUGUCAUCAGCAACUAUAAUUCAAAUUUUCAUAGUUUCAUUAAUGAGUUAUCGACCUAGCAAGUCAAAACAGAAGACAAUGCUGCAUGCUGGAUGGAAUCUGUACUUUUGCAUGGUUGCUUGGUGUAGACUGGAGUUUUCUGAGCGGCUGUAGUUGGUAGAAGACCACUUUCCUUUUUUAAAGAUGUUGCUAUGUUUAAAGCUUAUUUUCUGACAGGAAGCUAUGCUGAAUCAUCUUACUGCGGAAGCUUGUUUUUUAAUUAGGGGUUGAAUGGAUUAGUUUAUGUCAUGGUUGGUAAGUGGUGAUCUCUUAGCAGGAGCACAAUCUAGUUCAGUGGUCUUCUUUUCUUGGCUU
This 11795-nucleotide long non-coding RNA is filed under the name Solanum tuberosum (potato). RNAcentral's name for it is "long non-coding RNA (STUB_LNC007743)". The record is from RNAcentral. Lineage: Eukaryota; Viridiplantae; Streptophyta; Magnoliopsida; Solanales; Solanaceae.